UCCCAGGUGGCUCAGUGCUAAAGAAUCUGCCUGCAAUGCAGGAGAUUCGGGUUUGAUCCCCGGUCUAGGAA
This is a transfer RNA of Ovis aries (sheep), 71 nucleotides long. It matches the Rfam family "tRNA". From Rfam's summary of the family: Transfer RNA (tRNA) molecules are approximately 80 nucleotides in length. Their secondary structure includes four short double-helical elements and three loops (D, anti-codon, and T loops). Lineage: Eukaryota; Metazoa; Chordata; Mammalia; Artiodactyla; Bovidae. The record is from Rfam.